CGAAAGCCUGACGGAGCAACGCCGCGUGAGGGAUGAAGGCCUCUGGGCUGUAAACCUCUUUUAUCAAGGAAGAAGAUCUGACGGUACUUGAUGAAUAAGCCACGGCUAAUUCCGUGCCAGCAGCCGCGGUAAUACGGAGGAGGCAAGCGUUAUCCGGAAUUAUUGGGCGUAAAGCGUCCGCAGGUGGCAAUUCAAGUCUGCUGUCAAAGCACGGGGCUUAACUCCGUAAAGGCAGUGGAAACUGAAUAGCUAGAGUGCCGUAGGGGUAGAGGGAAUUCCCGGUGUAGCGGUGAAAUGCGUAGAGAUCGGGAAGAACAUCGGUGGCGAAAGCGCUCUACUGGACGGCAACUGACACUCAGGGACGAAAGCUAGGGGAGCG
Molecule: ribosomal RNA, 379 nt
Filed under: uncultured cyanobacterium
Lineage: Bacteria; Bacillati; Cyanobacteriota
Description: bacterial SSU rRNA
Rfam family: Bacterial small subunit ribosomal RNA
Source: RNAcentral